Molecule: long non-coding RNA, 1081 nt
Organism: Cygnus olor (mute swan)
Lineage: Eukaryota; Metazoa; Chordata; Aves; Anseriformes; Anatidae
Exons: 3
Source: RefSeq, a predicted model, not a curated record
CUUGCCUUGGAGUCAGACAAGAAACAUUACGUCUCUGGCUUCAGGCAACUGAAACAAGAAAACCACGAUUAGAGAGCUGUGUAAGAAAAACAAAAGUCCAUGUGUGGCAAGGGAAAGGAUGAUUUGGUACUAUUGUGAUAGACACAGGUGACACAAGUAUGUCAAUGUCUUAAAAAAUCAUUGUCAUUUAUAUACGCUUCCCUCUAAUUUGCACUUCAGAGACUUACUGAGGACAAAAGAAGCUUGCAUAAGCUCUCCUGUAGUUCCACUGAAAUGAACAGGAGCAGUUGAGAGUGAGUUACCACCCAGAAUGGAUCUUUCUAAAACUGCAGCUGUCAAACCAGUUCAUCGGAAUGAGGCAUGGAACAAUGAAAAGCUUCACAGCCCAGGGAGCUUGGUGACAAACAGUGCUUUGGUGAAAGCCUUCCACUUUUUCACAGCCUUCAUGGCCAGAAAGACUUUUGACCUCAGAAGCGCUCUCAAAAGGAACAUUUAUCCAGAGAAUGAAUGCAGGGGAAAGUUAUCUGAGCCACUCAGCAAAUGAUCCAUCACCUGUGACCAUUUCUCUCACAUUCACUGUGGAGCUUCAGGAGAACUUUUCAGUGGAAACCUUCUGCCACCAUUAAUCAGAAUCAGUCAUUUCAUUAAUGAACAUACAGAUUUUAGGAGAUGUUUUAUUUUUACUGUAAUCCAGGUAUUUAAUUAGUUUUGCUUUAAGCUUCACUUCAGGAUGUUAAGGGAUAGAUCUGAAAAGCAGCUCAGAAGCACUAAUCAAAUCCAGAGUUGCGGGGAAUAUAUGCUUGCAUAUUUGUUGCAUGUUUCACCAAAAUAAAUGGUGGCUUUUCAGAAAGUCUCCAAAACAGUGGGCUUCAGUUCUAUCUGUCUGUGACAUUUGCCACAUUCUGCUUUUGAGUUGUCUUCUGUUUGUUCCAAUUAGAUAUAUCUAUACUGACCCUGCAAAAUAGAUGUGACAAGGAUUGUGUUAUGACCUUGAGGCUAAAGGGCACACACAGGUGCCAUCUACAUCACAUUGUGCUUAGUCCAGAGGCUUCUUGAAACUCAAGGUGGUUUUAGGACACAG